GGGAGCCGGGGAAUAAUUUCCUUAACUAUAGCUUAUUUCGGCAACUCUAUACUUUAUGAAUCCUUGUUCAGCUGCAUGAAGCAGUUCCCGGGAAGAGAUACAAUAGAUAUGUGGAACUUGCACAAGCAGCUUUUGGUGAAAGACUUGGGGUUUGGCUUGCUCUCUUCCCUACUGUUUACCUAUCUGCAGGGACUGCGACAACUUUGAUUCUCGUAGGAGGUGAAACCAUGAAGAUGUUCUUUCAAAUUGUUUGUGGUCCGCUCUGUUCAUCGAAUCCUUCAAGUCUUAUCAGUCUAAUGAGUUCUGUUGCAGGCAUUGUUUUAUAGAUAAAUGCAAUUGCAGUGAUCCAUAAAUUUGGUCACAUUGUAUUGACUGAUAUAGAAGAACUGUAAUGUCUAUGUCUUAUUUCUCAUUAUUGUUGAUAGCAAGUGCAACUGUGGCCUUAUAUUAGUUUCUGCGCAACUGUUGGAAUCAUUUCUUGUUAUGGAAAUAUCUCUGAAAAGAAGAGAAUAUAAUUCUUGUUUUA
Molecule: long non-coding RNA, 526 nt
Organism: Lycium ferocissimum
Lineage: Eukaryota; Viridiplantae; Streptophyta; Magnoliopsida; Solanales; Solanaceae
Exons: 2
Source: RefSeq, a predicted model, not a curated record